Ipomoea nil (Japanese morning glory) is the source of this 373-nucleotide long non-coding RNA. RefSeq lists it as uncharacterized. The record is from RefSeq and is a predicted model, not a curated record. The transcript has 3 exons. NCBI's taxonomy places the organism in Eukaryota, Viridiplantae, Streptophyta, Magnoliopsida, Solanales, Convolvulaceae.
GCUUUGAUUUCUAGUGUCUUGUAAGGCUUUCUUUCUCGGGCCACCAUGGAAUUCUAGAAUGCUUGUUGAAGUACCAAUGAAAGGCAAGCUUUUCUAAUUUGACAUCUGGUCAACGAGCUCUGGUUGCGAGUGCCGAGUAGCAGCAUUUGGUCGACGAGCGACGAGUAGCAUCGUCUAGUCAUUUUAAUCUGUUUGGCUAUGAGCAAGAAUCAGAUUACUCAAAUGGGCAUGCAUCGACAGUUAGUUAGCUCUGCUAUUGUUUCAAAUUUGAAAACUGAUGUCAGAAAAGGAGCAUGGGACAAAGUAGAGGAAACUGUGUCUCACUUGAAGCAAAAACAAUUAGAAAUGGCUGAAAUAGCAGUGUGGUUGGAAG